GGUGGCUCAGUGGUAGAGUGCUUGCCUCAUAUGCAUGAGGCCCUGGGUUCAAUUCCUCAGCACCA
Dipodomys ordii (Ord's kangaroo rat) is the source of this 65-nucleotide non-coding RNA. The record is from Rfam. Lineage: Eukaryota; Metazoa; Chordata; Mammalia; Rodentia; Heteromyidae.